GUUCUGCCGCCGCAAUCACAAUGGAUUCCUCGGGAAUUAGUUUGUGCAUGAAGAAGAAGAUCAAACCCAAAUCUGGUGUGGCUUCUUUUGAUUGAAUCAUAGCAUGAUGAUAUCUGCUUUUAAAACUGAAGCUAAAACUAACAACCGAGGGUAAAUAGUUGGUUAAUAAGCUCCGGUCAUGUCAUCUUUUUCCGUAAAAUGUUGAUGGAGGGUUCUUGUUAAUUUCCUUCAGGAACAACAUCCACAAAGAUAAGUCCAACAUUUUCUCGACAACAAUAGCAGAAUCAAUCUCAAAUCCUGGGAUCUAAUUGUGUAUGAGUGGCAGACGGAUGGAUGGUUAGUGGGCUGAUGGAAAUACCAUAUUGCUGCCUAAAAAUCUUGGCAUCUCCGGCAGAAAAAGAGGUCAUCGGGGUUUCCAAGAUGACGAGGAGAGUAAACUUUCACUGAACAGGUGCACAUUGCAGCAUCAUUCAAUGGAUUGAUUGUCAUAAUGACUUCUCCUAAAAAAUAACAAUGGGAUCAUGGUGGAUACUAAUUGUCUAAUACAACUUCUGCUCCGUUUGAGUGUGUGGCCAACACCACAAAGCUGCAGUCGGUGGUAUAUCUGUCUCGAAUAGAAAGAAGUAAUUUUUUGAGAAACGAAGCACAUUUUCUUUCAACUAAGCUCUUAUAUACAUUCUUCUUUCCUAGCUUCAAGUUCUUCAAGGAAUUUUUGUACCUUUGGAAAUGUUCAUAUCUUUAAGUUGACUGGUCAUUCUUGUUUUUUUCUACCGAAUCUACUUAAAAGUGUUUUCAUGGUGAUCUCAGUGUCACUUCUGAUUGAUAGAUCCAUUUUGUGGUUUAGUUUUAGCUGUUAUGAGCUCAAUAAUCCUAUGUAGUUGGUGGU
Molecule: long non-coding RNA, 886 nt
Organism: Papaver somniferum (opium poppy)
Lineage: Eukaryota; Viridiplantae; Streptophyta; Magnoliopsida; Ranunculales; Papaveraceae
Exons: 5
Source: RefSeq, a predicted model, not a curated record